Molecule: non-coding RNA, 413 nt
Organism: Thioclava pacifica DSM 10166
Lineage: Bacteria; Pseudomonadati; Pseudomonadota; Alphaproteobacteria; Rhodobacterales; Paracoccaceae
Source: Rfam
GCGGAUGGCCGGAUGACCGCGAGCGCCCGUAACCCCGCGUCCAGCGGGUAGUCGGGGGCCCGAGGAAAGUCCGGACUCCAUGAAGCGACGGUGCCGGGUAACGCCCGGGCGGGGCAACCCGACGGAAAGCGCCACAGAGAUGAAACCGCCCUGCUAUGGCAGGGUAAGGGUGAAACGGUGGGGUAAGAGCCCACCGCGGGACUGGCAACAGGACCGGCACGGCAAGCCCCACCGGGAGCAACGCCGAAUAGGGAUCGCGCGCCGCGCUCGGCAACGGGUGACGGCAGGGGAGCUUCGCCCCGAGCGGUCCGGGUUGGCGGCUGGACCCCGUGAGCAAUCGCGGGGCGAGAGGAAUGGUCAUCCAUGGGGCGCAAGCCCCGGGACAGAAUCCGGCUUACAGGCCAUCCGCGCAA